CAACCAUCAAGCGCCUCGCUUGUGUUGGGGCCCUGCGGCUGCCGCAGGCCCCCAAAUCCAGUGGCGGGCUCGUCGUCGUACCGAGUGCAGUAAACAUCCUCGCUCAGGGAACCCGACGGGUGCCGGCCGUGAAACCCCCCCUCCUUAA
Molecule: unclassified non-coding RNA, 148 nt
Filed under: uncultured Podospora
Lineage: Eukaryota; Fungi; Ascomycota; Sordariomycetes; Sordariales; Lasiosphaeriaceae
Description: partial internal transcribed spacer 2
Source: RNAcentral